RNAcentral lists this ribosomal RNA (265 nucleotides) under uncultured bacterium. RNAcentral's name for it is "partial 16S ribosomal RNA". It matches the Rfam family "Bacterial small subunit ribosomal RNA", at positions 793 to 1055 of the family's 1533-position model. The record is from RNAcentral.
GUCCACGCCCUAAACUAUGAACACUAGGUGUUGAAGGUCUCGACCCCUUCAGUGCCGACGCUAACGCAUUAAGUGUUCCGCCUGGGUAGUACGGUCGCAAGACUAAAACUCAAAGGAAUAGACGGGGACCCACACAAGCGGUGGAGCAUCUGGUUUAAUUCGAUAGUAAGCGAGGAACCUUACCAAGGCUUGACAUCCCGGGAAGGCUGCCGAAAGGUGGCUGUGCCGUAAAGGAACCCGGUGACAGGUGCUGCAUGGUUGUCGU